AGAGUUCAAGAGUACGUGAAACCGUUUAGGGGUAAACCUGAGAAAUCCGAAAGGUCGAAGGGAGAAAUUCAUUCGCGUCUCGCCGUCGGCGUGAGAUGGUCGUGUGACGGAGGACGUUCGCGUUUUCCGCGCCUUCCGUUUUUCGAUCCGAUAGCGAACGCGUGCACUUUUCUCCUGGUAGGACGUCGCGAUCCGUUGGGUGUCGGUCUACGGCUCGCAGUGGAGCCCGGACACACGGCUUGCCGUCGCGUCCGGACCUGCGUGUCCCGGCUGACUCGCUCGACGGUAUAAGAAAGGUUUAAGGCCGCUCUUGGAGCGUUCGGCUCGUCGCAAGCGCGCCAGAUGUGUCGGCGAUCGGACCUAGUGCCGGUUCUGACCUCUGGUGACUGUUGGCGGCGAAGUUCUCGAACAGACCUUUGACCGAUCUGCGACGCUAUAGCUUUGGAUACUUUCAGGACCCGUCUUGAAACACGGAACC
Molecule: ribosomal RNA, 478 nt
Filed under: Listronotus bonariensis (Argentine stem weevil)
Lineage: Eukaryota; Metazoa; Arthropoda; Insecta; Coleoptera; Curculionidae
Description: eukaryotic LSU rRNA
Source: RNAcentral